AUUGAACGCUGGCGGCAGGCUUAACACAUGCAAGUCGAGCGAGCGGCGGACGGGUGAGUAAUGUCUGGGAAACUGCCUGAUGGAGGGGGAUAACUACUGGAAACGGUAGCUAAUACCGCAUACCAUCAGAUGUGCCCAGAUGGGAUUAGCUAGUAGGUGGGGUAAUGGCUCACCUAGGCGACGAUCCCUAGCUGGUCUGAGAGGAUGACCAGAGAGACUGGAACUGAGACACGGGCCAGACACCUACGGGAGGCAGCAGUGGGGAAUAUGGCACAAUGGGCGCAAGCCUGAUGCAGCCAUGCCGCAUGUAUGAAGAAGGGCUUCGGGUUGUAAAGCACUUUCAGCGAGGAGGCGUUACUCGCAGAAGAAGCACCGGCUAACUCCGUGCCAGCGGCCGCGGUAAUUC
Molecule: ribosomal RNA, 406 nt
Filed under: uncultured bacterium
Lineage: Bacteria
Description: partial 16S ribosomal RNA
Rfam family: Bacterial small subunit ribosomal RNA
Source: RNAcentral